This 750-nucleotide ribosomal RNA is filed under the name uncultured bacterium. RNAcentral's name for it is "bacterial SSU rRNA". It matches the Rfam family "Bacterial small subunit ribosomal RNA", at positions 44 to 789 of the family's 1533-position model. The record is from RNAcentral.
AAGCCAANUACUGCAGUCGAACGAGAGACCUUCGGGUCUCUAGUGGCGAACGGGUGAGUAACACGUAGGGAACCUGCCCGCGCACCGGGAAUACGCUCUGGAAACGGAGAACAAAUCCCGAUGUACAGGAAGGAGGCAUCUUCUUUCUGUGAAACAUCCUUUAGGGGAUGGGGCGCGGAUGGACCUGCGGUGCAUUAGUUGGUUGGCGGGGUAAAGGCCCACCAAGACGAUGAUGCAUAGCCGGCCUGAGAGGGCGGACGGCCACAUUGGGACUGAGACACGGCCCAGACUCCUGCGGGAGGCAGCAGUAGGGAAUUUUCGUCAAUGGGCGCAAGCCUGAACGAGCGAUGCCGCGUGAGUGAAGAAGGCCUUCGGGCCGUAAAGCUCUGUUGCGGGGGAAAAAAGGCAGCAUCAGGAAAUGGGUGCUGACUGAUGGUGCCCCGCCAGAAAGUCACGGCUAACUACGUGCCAGCAGCCGCGGUGAUACGUAGGUGGCGAGCGUUAUCCGGAAUGAUUGGGCGUAAAGGGUGCGCAGGCGGUCCUGCAAGUCUGGAGUGAAACGCAUGAGCUCAACUCAUGCAUGGCUUUGGAAACUGGAGGACUGGAGAGCAGGAGAGGGCGGUGGAACUCCAUGUGUAGCGGUAAAAUGCGUAGAUAUAUGGAAGAACACCAGUGGCGAAGGCGGCCGCCUGGCCUGUUGCUGACGCUGAGGCACGAAAGCGUGGGGAGCAAAUAGGAUUAGAUACCCUA